RNAcentral lists this ribosomal RNA (690 nucleotides) under uncultured Bacteroidales bacterium. RNAcentral's name for it is "bacterial SSU rRNA". It matches the Rfam family "Bacterial small subunit ribosomal RNA", at positions 32 to 715 of the family's 1533-position model. The record is from RNAcentral. Lineage: Bacteria; Pseudomonadati; Bacteroidota; Bacteroidia; Bacteroidales.
AACGCUAGCUACAGGCUUAACACAUGCAAGUCGAGGGGCAGCAUUAGGUAGCAAUACUGAGAUGGCGACCGGCGCACGGGUGCGUAACGCGUAUCCAACUUUCCCGUUACUCUGGGAUAGCCUUCCGAAAGGGAGAUUAAUACCGGAUGGUGUUUGAAUUCCGCAUGUUAUUCAAACUAAAGAUUUAUCGGUAACGGAUAGGGAUGCGUGACAUUAGGUAGAUGGCGGGGUAACGGCCCACCAUGCCCACGAUGUCUAGGGGUUCUGAGAGGAAGGUCCCCCACACUGGAACUGAGACACGGUCCAGACUCCUACGGGAGGCAGCAGUGAGGAAUAUUGGUCAAUGGCCGGAAGGCUGAACCAGCCAAGUAGCGUGAAGGAUGAAGGUUCUAUGGAUUGUAAACUUCUUUUAUAUAGGAAUAAAACCUCCCACGUGUGGGAGCUUGUAUGUACUAUAUGAAUAAGCAUCGGCUAACUCCGUGCCAGCAGCCGCGGUAAUACGGAGGAUGCGAGCGUUAUCCGGAUUUAUUGGGUUUAAAGGGAGCGUAGACGGGAUGUUAAGUCAGUUGUGAAAGGCUGCGGCUCAACCGCAGCACUGCAGUUGAUACUGGCGUCCUUGAGUGCGGUUGAGGUGUGUGGAAUUCGUGGUGUAGCGGUGAAAUGCUUAGAUAUCACGAAGAACUCCGAUUG